This 253-nucleotide ribosomal RNA is filed under the name uncultured bacterium. Its description in RNAcentral is "partial 16S ribosomal RNA". It matches the Rfam family "Bacterial small subunit ribosomal RNA", at positions 524 to 776 of the family's 1533-position model. The record is from RNAcentral.
UACGGAGGAGGCAAGCGUUAUCCGGAAUUAUUGGGCGUAAAGCGUCCGUAGGUGGUUUAGUAAGUCUGCUGUUAAAGCGCGGGGCUUAACUCCGUAUCGGCAGUGGAAACUACUAGACUAGAGUGUGGUAGGGGUAGAGGGAAUUCCCAGUGUAGCGGUGAAAUGCGUAGAGAUCAGGAGGAACACCCGUGGCGAAGGCGGCCCUCUGGCUCGACCCUGACGCUGAGGCGCGAAAGCGUGGGGAGCGAACGGG